RNAcentral lists this long non-coding RNA (1488 nucleotides) under Homo sapiens (human). RNAcentral's name for it is "long non-coding RNA NONHSAT179880.1". The record is from RNAcentral. Lineage: Eukaryota; Metazoa; Chordata; Mammalia; Primates; Hominidae.
AAGUAAGUAUCCCCACUUUCAGGGUAGCAUCCUCUUUCCCUAGUUAUUUCAGUGCAGAAUCGAUUCACGUGUAAGCCUCUACCUCCUGCACUUACCCCAAUGUAGACCCCCUUCCACAGUCCCCCUACAGAAGAUCUCCCAAAACAUUUCCAACACAGAACUUCCAUUCAAUUCCCCUCCGACUGCCCGCCUCCCUCCUCCAGGACAGAGCACGCCCCAGGUUUCGAGACUGAACUACCCCCAUCUACGGAGUCCACCCCUCCCUCUCUAGAACCCCCUCAGUGUAGACGCCUCCUCUUUUCCUCUUUCCUCCCUACUUUUUCUAGUUUUUCUGCAGCCGACCUCCAGCGUCGGCCACUGUAGCUCCUUCCUUGCUCCACUUUCCCCAGAGUACACAGCCUGCCUUUCCACUCUCCGUGCAGACCCAUCCUCUUUCCCGCUCCUCGCUCUCGGACGCCACCAACGCUCUCCCGGGCUCUUCCGCGUUACCUACGAUGGAAGGUCGGGGCGUGCGGGCAGCUGGAACCCACCCCUGUCUUGGAGCUCCGGGUAGCUCUCAAACUCGAGGCUGCGCACCCCCUUUCCCGUCAGCUGAGCUCUAGAGCGCUGGGGCUUUCUUUUUGAUCGACUUCUUGAAAUAAAACCAACUUUAUCAUUCUUUGGGUAACAGACCCAAAAGCCGAUGGGACGGCCCGCUGGGCUGUUCCCGCCCCUAUGCCCUUUUUUGGGUUUCCGGCCAGAGGCAUGCUGGGAGCGUCACAUGCAAAUUGAGCGUGCACCCAGCGUUCCGCCCUUUCUACGCUGGGCCGGUUAUCGACCCGGCCCAGUGCGCAGGCGCGGGAAAGUUGAACUAAUAAAGUUUGUACGAGUUCAGUGGAGGAGACCGCAAGUUGAGUGGAGGAGGCGGCGGUGGGGCCCCGGACCAGGUGCCUCCAUGGCAGGCUCUGAAGAGCUGGGGCUCCGGGAAGACACGCUGAGGGUCCUAGCUGCCUUCCUUAGGCGUGGUGAGGCUGCCGGGUCUCCUGUUCCAACUCCACCUAGGCCCAGCUACUCCAGACUUCUAUGCUUUGGUGGCCCAGCGGCUGGAACAGCUGGUCCAAGAGCAGCUGAAAUCUCCGCCCAGCCCAGAAUUACAGGGUCCCCCAUCGACAGAGAAGGAAGCCAUACUGCGGAGGCUGGUGGCCCUGCUGGAGGAGGAGGCAGAAGUCAUUAACCAGAAGGUGAUGGGCAUCUGUCCCACUCCUUGGCAAGGACAGGAGUUGCGGAAUGGAGGGCAUCCUGGCUGUUUCACCCGUGGACUUGAACUUGCCAUUGGACUGAGCUCUUUCUCAGAAGCUGCUACAAGAUGACACCUCAUGUCCCUGCCCUCUUCGUGUGCUUUUCCAAGUCUUCCUAUUCCACUCAGGGCUGUGGGGUGGUGGUUGCCCUACCUGUUUUUGCCAAAAAUAAAUUGUUUAAAACUUUUCUUAUUAAAAACGUUACAAAGUA